Molecule: ribosomal RNA, 496 nt
Filed under: uncultured bacterium
Lineage: Bacteria
Description: partial 16S ribosomal RNA
Rfam family: Bacterial small subunit ribosomal RNA
Source: RNAcentral
AUUGAACGCUGGCGGAAUGCUUUACACAUGCAAGUCGAACGGUAGAGGGGGCAACCCCUCGAGAGUGGCGAACGGGUGAGUAAUAUAUCGGAACGUGCCCAGUCGUGGGGGAUAACGUAGCGAAAGUUACGCUAAUACCGCGUACGAUCUAAGGAUGAAAGCGGGGGAUCGCAAGACCUCGCGUGAUUGGAGCGGCCGAUAUCAGAUUAGGUAGUUGGGGGGGUAAAGGCUCACCAAGCCAACGAUCUGUAGCUGGUCUGAGAGGACGACCAGCCACACUGGAACUGAGACACGGUCCAGACUCCUACGGGAGGCAGCAGUGGGGAAUUUUGGACAAUGGACGCAAGUCUGAUCCAGCCAUUCCGCGUGCAGGAUGAAGGCCCUCGGGUUGUAAACUGCUUUUGUACGGAACGAAAAGGUCUCUCUUAAUACGGGGGACUCAUGACGGUACCGUAAGAAUAAGCACCGGCUAACUACGUGCCAGCAGCCGCCGUAA